This 306-nucleotide ribosomal RNA is filed under the name Vaucheria litorea. Its description in RNAcentral is "partial Bacterial large subunit ribosomal RNA". It matches the Rfam family "Bacterial large subunit ribosomal RNA", at positions 1585 to 1917 of the family's 2925-position model. Lineage: Eukaryota; Xanthophyceae; Vaucheriales; Vaucheriaceae. The record is from RNAcentral.
GCGAAGUUGUAAAAUCUCUUCCAAGAAAAGCCCUGACAUAGCCCGUACCGUAAACCGACACAGGUAGUCGAGGAGAGUAUCCUAAGGUGCUCGAGUGAUCCGUGGUUAAGGAACUAGGCAAAUUAGCCCUGUAACUUCGGGAGAAAGGGCCCCCUCUUCGGAGGGGCGCAGUGAAAUGGCCCAGGCGACUGUUUAGCAAAAACACAGGACUAUGCUAAGUUGAAAGACGCAGUAUAUGGUCUGACACCUGCCCGGUGCUGGAAGGUUAAGUGGAGAUGUCAUCUUCGGAGAAGCAUUGAAAUGAAG